UACAGAGGUGGCAAGCGUUGUUCGGAAUUACUUGGCGUAAAGGGCGCGUAGGCGGUUCGUUAAGUCCUGUGUGAAAUCCCCCGGCUCAACUGGGGAACUGCACAGGAAACUAGCGGGCUUGAGUUCGGGAGAGGGAAGCGGAAUUCCGGGUGUAGCGGUGAAAUGCGUAGAUAUCCGGAGGAACACCGGUGGCGAAGGCGGCUUCCUGGACCGACACUGACGCUGAGGCGCGAAAGCUAGGGGAGCAAACGGG
RNAcentral lists this ribosomal RNA (253 nucleotides) under uncultured bacterium. RNAcentral describes it as "partial 16S ribosomal RNA". It matches the Rfam family "Bacterial small subunit ribosomal RNA", at positions 524 to 776 of the family's 1533-position model. The record is from RNAcentral.